RNAcentral lists this ribosomal RNA (495 nucleotides) under uncultured bacterium. RNAcentral's name for it is "partial 16S ribosomal RNA". It matches the Rfam family "Bacterial small subunit ribosomal RNA", at positions 30 to 507 of the family's 1533-position model. The record is from RNAcentral.
UGAACGCUGGCGGCGUGCCUAAUACAUGCAAGUCGAGCGAACAGACGAGGAGCUUGCUCCUCUGACGUUAGCGGCGGACGGGUGAGUAACACGUGGAUAACCUACCUAUAAGACUGGGAUAACUUCGGGAAACCGGAGUUAAUACCGGAUAAUAUAUUGAACCGCAUGGUUCAAUAGUGAAAGACGGUUUUGCUGUCACUUAUAGAUGGAUCCGCGCCGCAUUAGCUAGUUGGUAAGGUAACGGCUUACCAAGGCAACGAUGCGUAGCCGACCUGAGAGGGUGAUCGGCCACACUGGAACUGAGACACGGUCCAGACUCCUACGGGAGGCAGCAGUAGGGAAUCUUCCGCAAUGGGCGAAAGCCUGACGGAGCAACGCCGCGUGAGUGAUGAAGGUCUUCGGAUCGUAAAACUCUGUUAUUAGGGAAGAACAAAUGUGUAAGUAACUAUGCACGUCUUGACGGUACCUAAUCAGAAAGCCACGGCUAACUACGUG